UACCCGCUGAGUUUAAGCAUAUCAAUAAGCGGAUGAAAAGAAACU
This 45-nucleotide ribosomal RNA is filed under the name Coffea boiviniana. RNAcentral describes it as "partial 26S ribosomal RNA". Lineage: Eukaryota; Viridiplantae; Streptophyta; Magnoliopsida; Gentianales; Rubiaceae. The record is from RNAcentral.